GGUGCAGUUGUUAAAGCACUUGGUUGCUAACCGAAAGGUUGGUGGUUCAAACCCACCCUCCGCUA
Molecule: transfer RNA, 65 nt
Filed under: Loxodonta africana (African savanna elephant)
Lineage: Eukaryota; Metazoa; Chordata; Mammalia; Proboscidea; Elephantidae
Rfam family: tRNA
About the family: Transfer RNA (tRNA) molecules are approximately 80 nucleotides in length. Their secondary structure includes four short double-helical elements and three loops (D, anti-codon, and T loops).
Source: Rfam by way of RNAcentral